This 1032-nucleotide long non-coding RNA is filed under the name Homo sapiens (human). RNAcentral's name for it is "novel transcript". The record is from RNAcentral. Lineage: Eukaryota; Metazoa; Chordata; Mammalia; Primates; Hominidae.
AGAAGCACUCUAGCUACAGAUUAGAAUGAUGACAAGAGUAAUACCUUCCUAGUGAAGAUGACUUUUAUUUCAGGACUAUAUUAAGUUUCCCAACUUCUGUCAUGAUAUAGUCCAAAGAGAACCUGGACCACGCAGACAUCAAACAGAACAUGACACUGACCCAUUCUAUCAGUGACGUUGUGCUGAUUGCACAGGACAGAUGAGAGGCUCGUAUACUAGAAGUCUUGAUAACUUGUUUUCUAGUUUCACAUGUCCACAGAUGAAGAAAAAUUGUGCCCCAGCAAGGAUUAUACCCAGAGCCUCAUCCAUUCAUACCUGAUUUAGAUACUUAGAUGAUGAGUAAUAGAAAAGCAUCAUCUUUAUGUAAAUCACUGUACUUGGCUUCGUGAGAAAUAUAAAAAUGAAUUGCUUCAAUCCCUGGACUCAAGGAUCCUGUGUUACCAAGGUGGUUAUCAAACCUGGGUCAAAGUUGAAUCACCUGAGGAUCUUUUAGAACAUACACAGCCAGCUGGACCUGCCCUCAGCUACCUCAUCUCUCUCUGUGACCUAAUGACAGAAAAGCACAUGAUUCUCUUCACCUGACUUCAUAUAUGGGUCCAUGUCAUAUGAUACUUCAAAAUCUGUGAUUCCAUGAAGCCAAGAGUAGCUCUUCAACAGGAAAUGAAUGAGUGCUUCAGCUUCUGAUCCCAUUAGUAAGAAAAUACAGUCUUAUGAGCAAUGAUGGAGCUGCAUCUCUUAGGGGCAUUUGAUUCCCAAGAGACCAAAGAGCAAAGAGAAUGUCAAUUUAAAAAAAUCAAAUGUUUCCAUGACUUAGCUAUUUAACUGCUUUAAAAUGAAUGAAUGCUGCUUCAAGUUCUUUCAAAUACCCCACAUCUUGGCAACAACGAAAGGAAUUAACAUGAAGAAAAUUUACAAUCUUUCAUCACAUCGAACAAUGUCCCACAUUUGAAAAGUUCACAGCACAGAUUUCUGGUUACUGAAAGAAAGGAAAGACCUUCUUUGGAUUUGAAUAAACAGAUGGACUUUCUUCUC